UGGCUGUCGGAGUGUAGAAUUCUCCAGCA
RNAcentral lists this non-coding RNA (29 nucleotides) under Rattus norvegicus (Norway rat). The record is from RNAcentral. Lineage: Eukaryota; Metazoa; Chordata; Mammalia; Rodentia; Muridae.